UUUACGGGAGGCAGCAGUGGGGAAUAUUGGACAAUGGGCGAAAGCCUGAUCCAGCAAUGCCGCGUAAGUGAUGAAGGCCUUAGGGUUGUAAAGCUCUUUUACCCGGGAUGAUAAUGACAGUACCGGGAGAAUAAGCUCCGGCUAACUCCGUGCCAGCAGCCGCGGUAAU
This 169-nucleotide ribosomal RNA is filed under the name uncultured bacterium. Its description in RNAcentral is "partial 16S ribosomal RNA". It matches the Rfam family "Bacterial small subunit ribosomal RNA", at positions 338 to 524 of the family's 1533-position model. The record is from RNAcentral.